RNAcentral lists this long non-coding RNA (252 nucleotides) under Oncorhynchus mykiss (rainbow trout). Its description in RNAcentral is "lncRNA (ENSOMYG00000068244.1)". The record is from RNAcentral. Lineage: Eukaryota; Metazoa; Chordata; Actinopteri; Salmoniformes; Salmonidae.
GGAGCAGGGUAGUGUGUAUAACUAGGGAGCAGGGUAGUGUAUAUAUCUAAGGAGCAGGGUAGUGUAUAUAUCUAGGGAGCAGGGUAGUGUCUAUAACUAGGGAGCAGGGUAGUGUGUAUAACUAGGGUAGUGUAUAUAACUAGGGUAGUGUAUAUAACUAGGGUAGUGUAUAUAUCUAGGGAGCAGGGUAGUGUAUAUCUAAGGAGCAGGGUAGUGUAUAUAACUAGGGAGCAGGGUAGUGUCUAUAACUAG